CAUGGUAGAUAUAUCAAAGAUUUAUCGCUUAGAGAUGGACUCGCGUCCGAUUAGUUAGUUGGUGAGGUAACGGCUCACCAAGACUGCGAUCGGUAGCCGGACUGAGAGGUUGAACGGCCACAUUGGGACUGAGACACGGCCCAGACUCCUACGGGAGGCAGCAGUGGGGGAUAUUGCGCAAUGGGGGAAACCCUGACGCAGCAACGCCGCGUGAAGGAUGAAGGUCUUCGGAUUGUAAACUUCUUUUAUUAAGGACGAAGAAAGUGACGGUACUUAAUGAAUAAGCUCCGGCUAACUACGUGCCAGCAGCCGCGGUAAUACGUAGGGAGCAAGCGUUGUCCGGAUUUACUGGGUGUAAAGGGUGCGUAGGCGGCUUUGCAAGUCAGAUGUGAAAUCUAUGGGCUCAACCCAUAGCCUGCAUUUGAAACUGCAGAGCUUGAGUGAAGUAGAGGCAGGCGGAAUUCCCCGUGUAGCGGUGAAAUGCGUAGAGAUGGGGAGGAACACCAGUGGCGAAGGCGGCCUGCUGGGCUUUAACUGACGCUGAGGCACGAAAGCGUGGGUAGCAAACAGGAUUAGAUACCCUGGUAGUCCACGCUGUAAACGAUGAUAACGAGGUGUGGGGGGUCUGACCCCUUCCGUGCCGGAG
This 646-nucleotide ribosomal RNA is filed under the name uncultured bacterium. Its description in RNAcentral is "bacterial SSU rRNA". It matches the Rfam family "Bacterial small subunit ribosomal RNA", at positions 188 to 851 of the family's 1533-position model. The record is from RNAcentral.